CACACAAUAUCUUCAUUGUUGGUCAAUAAACCCCCUUUUUGGACUUCUUUUUUCUAAAGCAAACUUUCGGCCUGUCAUUUGGUGCAGUUUCUGCUGGUGUAGUUUCUACUAGUUCUGCAAGUAUAGUUUCUACUUCUCCAACAUUGGGGGGCAAUCUCAGCCACUUAAACUCCCAAUGGUUGGAAUUCUACCAUUUCAUUUAGAAUCAAUGCAUUCUCCCCCUGAANGCCAACUUUAGGUUAAUAAAGCUAAUUCUUGAAGAAAGUCACAUCCAUAGUAUGGUAGAAAAAUUCAGUUGAGGGGAAAUAGCAUCUGUAUCCCUUUUGUUGAGGUGAGUAACCAACCAAAAUAUCUGAUGGAUUUUGAGACAAGUUCACUGUGGUGAGGGUUUAGGUUGUAAACAAAGGUUGAACAUCCCAAUAUUUUUGAGAGAAUCGAAGUGAAAAUUAUGUUGGUUGGGAAAAAUAUUGAUUGUAGAGUGAGGGGUGUUAAAGUUAAGAACAUAUUAGGUAGGUUGCCAAGAGGAAAUCUUCUCUCCAAAGCUAUUUUGGUACAUUUGCAGCCAAAAUUAGGGUUGAGGGAUCUAGUUACUUUUGGAAAGUGCCUACUUUUUCAUUUUGUGGUCCCAUUUUGUUAAGGUAUUUACAACNAGCUUUGGUGUAUAUUCCACGUGAAUUAAGGUAGGAAUUCAAUAUUGAGUGAGAAAAUUCAUGGCC
Molecule: long non-coding RNA, 716 nt
Filed under: Vigna radiata
Lineage: Eukaryota; Viridiplantae; Streptophyta; Magnoliopsida; Fabales; Fabaceae
Description: long non-coding RNA (VRAD_LNC005487)
Source: RNAcentral